RNAcentral lists this unclassified non-coding RNA (348 nucleotides) under soil metagenome. RNAcentral's name for it is "partial contains 5.8S ribosomal RNA, internal transcribed spacer 2, and large subunit ribosomal RNA". The stretch from base 1 to 120 matches the Rfam family "5.8S ribosomal RNA", at positions 35 to 154 of the family's 154-position model. The record is from RNAcentral.
GAUGAAGAACGUAGUGAAAUGCGACAAGUAAUGUGAAUUGCAGAAUUCCGUGAAUCAUCGAAUCUUUGAACGCACAUUGCGCCCCCUGGUAUUCCGGGGGGCAUGCCUGUCCGAGCGUCAUUGCUGCCCUCAAGCACGGCUUGUGUGUUGGGCCCCGCCCCCCGGCUCCCGGGGGGCGGGCCCGAAAGGCAGCGGCGGCACCGCGUCCGGUCCUCGAGCGUAUGGGGCUUCGUCACCCGCUCCGUAGGCCCGGCCGGCGCCCGCCGGCGACCCCCCUCAAUCUUUUCAGGUUGACCUCGGAUCAGGUAGGGAUACCCGCUGAACUUAAGCAUAUCAAUAAGCGGAGGA